UAGGGAAUCUUCGGCAAUGGACGAAAGUCUGACCGAGCAACGCCGCGUGAGUGAAGAAGGUUUUCGGAUCGUAAAACUCUGUUGUUAGAGAAGAACAAGGACGUUAGUAACUGAACGUCCCCUGACGGUAUCUAACCAGAAAGCCACGGCUAACUACGUGCCAGCAGCCGCGGUAAUACGUAGGUGGCAAGCGUUGUCCGGAUUGAUUGGGCGUAAAGCGAGCGCAGGCGGUUUCUUAAGUCUGAUGUGAAAGCCCCCGGCUCAACCGGGGAGGGUCAUUGGAAACUGGGGGACUUGAGUGCAGAAGAGGAGAGUGGAAUUCCAUGUGUAGCGGUGAAAUGCGUAGAUAUAUGGAGGAACACCAGUGGCGAAGGCGGCUCUCUGGUCUGUAACUGACGCUGAGGCUCGAAAGCGUGGGGAGCAAACAGG
This 429-nucleotide ribosomal RNA is filed under the name Gemmatimonadota bacterium. Its description in RNAcentral is "Gemmatimonadetes bacterium partial 16S ribosomal RNA". It matches the Rfam family "Bacterial small subunit ribosomal RNA", at positions 355 to 776 of the family's 1533-position model. The record is from RNAcentral. Lineage: Bacteria; Pseudomonadati; Gemmatimonadota.